GACGAACCGUGCUAACGUUGUUCGGAAUCACUGGGCUUAAAGGGCGCGUAGGCGGCCAAUCCAGUCGGGGGUGAAAUCUUUCGGCUUAACCGGAAAAGUGCCUUCGAUACUGAUUGGCUCGAGGGAGGUAGGGGCAGAUGGAACUUCCGGUGGAGCGGUGAAAUGUGUUGAUAUCGGAAGGAACGCCGGUGGCGAAAGCGAUCUGCUGGACCUCUACUGACGCUGAGGCGCGAAAGCCAGGGGAGCAAACGGG
RNAcentral lists this unclassified non-coding RNA (253 nucleotides) under uncultured Planctomycetia bacterium. RNAcentral describes it as "contains 16S-23S intergenic spacer region". It matches the Rfam family "Bacterial small subunit ribosomal RNA", at positions 524 to 776 of the family's 1533-position model. The record is from RNAcentral. Lineage: Bacteria; Pseudomonadati; Planctomycetota; Planctomycetia.